RNAcentral lists this ribosomal RNA (108 nucleotides) under Salmo salar (Atlantic salmon). The record is from RNAcentral. Lineage: Eukaryota; Metazoa; Chordata; Actinopteri; Salmoniformes; Salmonidae.
GCUUACGGCCAUAUCAGCCUGGGUACGCUGAUCUCGGAAGCUAAGCAGGGUUGGGCCUGGUUAGUACUUGGAUGGGAGACCGCCUGGGAAUACCAGGUGCUGUAAGCA